CUAGAGAAGUGAAUGAACAGUGUGUAUAGUCGUGCUUUAUUCUGAGUGAUAUGUUUGGCCGGUCAUCCACCUUAGAGACGCGUGUCUUCCAGCUUUAUCAACAUCUCUUUGAAAGUCUCAGACGAGACUUAAAAAGAGAGAAAGGGAAGGAGAUGGGCGGUGACCGGAGUGUUACCACCAUCUCACCACCACUCGCCACUACUCUAAUCAAGGUUUCUAGGGCUUCAGUUCGAUUUGAUUUGUGAUUCAAGGUUUCUAGGACUUCAAUUUCUGAUUCAAGGUUCUAUUACCCAUUGUUGAUGGGUCAGAGGAGACGGAAGUUGUCAUGAUAACUGUUGUUCUUUGACGUGCAAAAGCCGAAGUGUCACCACUGGCGGAUUCAGGCCGUCUUGGCGGCAGCGAUUUUCAACGUAAAACCCUAGCUGACGUUUUAGGCGACAGCGGCCGGGGUUCUUGCGAGGUUUCAGCCUUUCACCUACCUGACGAUGAUGAUGGCUUGCUACCUGGUAUGGCAACUCCGGUUGCAACCAUAGCGCCACUGAGCAGGUUCAACGACGAUGAUGAUCUUAAUUGUUGUUCUUUGACAUGCAAAAGCCGAAGUGUCACCACUGGCGGAUUCAGGCCGUCUUGGCGGCAGCGAUUUUCAACGUAAAACCCUAGCCGACGUUUUAGGCGACAGCGGCCGGGGUUCUUGUGAGGUUUCAGCCUUUCACCUACCUGACGAUGAUGAUGGCUUGCUACCUGGUAUGGCAACUCCGGUUGCAACCAUAGCGCCACUGAGCAGGUUCAACGACGAUGAUGAUCUUUUCGGAUCCGAGUCGAUUUGUGUUGGCAAUUUCGUUUUUAUUUGUUUUGCUCUAUAAGAUUGAUUAUACGAUUGUGUUAGUCGUGUUGGUCAUGUUGUUUCUCGCUGUUGUUUCGGCUGUGAUAUUGGUGGUUGUGCUGUUGAUAGCAGUAAUGAAAAUGGUGUGUGAUGUUUUCAUUUUGCAUAUACCUACCCAGUUUAGCGUCCCGUAACGCUCGCGGGUUCUCUGUUGCGCUGAACGGUCGAUGGAGGGCCUUCGGGGUGUGCGAUUGUAAAUGUUAAAUUGUUGGCUUUGGUUGUGGAAAAUGCUCUGAUAAUGACGAUUUGGAGCGCCUUUCAGGUUUGCGAUGCUUAACGCUAAAUCUGAAGUAUGGUUCAACGAUGGUGUUGACAAACGGCCUUUAGGGUUUUUGAUGAUAAGCCCUAAAUCAUUCGUUUUGGGGCAUACCUAUAUUGUCUUCUUUAAUAUAUGUCUAUUAAUAGUUCAAACAAAUAAACAGUGUUUGUAUUUUGUGGUUAGAGGCUGUGAUGAGCUAUCAAAAUAAAAUCGAUACAUCACCAUGGUGUCGCAGCUAUGGAGGAUGGCAGGUUAGCACCUGCAACCCCUAUUGCAGCCAUGGUGGCUUGGUCCUUUUGCAUUCUCUGAGCCUUCAUGAAUCUGUUUACUUCAUUGUUGGCUUUGAGCUUACAAUUUGGGUUAGCGAUGGUGGUUUAGACUUUGGUCCUUUUGGUCACUGAAAUAGAGUCUGGAUGACUGGGAAUGUUGAAAAGAAAAAAAAAUGUGUAUGGAAAAGUUACUCGGUCCAUUAGUCAGAUUUGAGCAGCUCCUCAAUCAGAUCUGGUUGAAUAUGAAUGGAUCUGAACACGUCGAGGUUUUGUGAUGCGCCGUCUCAGACGCUCGGAAAACUCGACCAUUCAGUGAUUGACCAUAUGACUUUUAAUUAUUUGCUACAGGUUAUGGUAAAAUCGUUUGAGGUUACAGAGUUACCAGAGCGUCUUCAUAGUCAGAUCCUAGCACGAAAGCAGUGGGUUGUUGCUGGGGUGGAUGAUAUGUUUAUCCGGGUAUACAAUUACAAUGUAAUGGACAAGGUCAAAAGUAUACGAGGCACGCACUGAUCGCACUAUAAAGGUUCCUAUUAUCAAAAUUGCACGUUCUUGGUUCAAGCCAAUCACCGAGAUCAUGCAGUAUUAUAUCGAGCGUAAGCGGUUUGGUGUUGGGUGUGUGUUUGGAUUAAAGCUCUGGUGCCAUCCAGUUUUGAUUCGGCAAAAAUGAUGCUCGAGCAUGCUCUUCAAGUGAAUAAACCAGCAAGGAGAAACGUAUCAUUUAUGAAGUCUUCUCAGUGACAAUUUGGAAGUUGUGGCCACUGCGUAAUGAAAAGGUAUUUAAAGGAUAGUCACAGCAGAUUAAAAAGGUUCUAGAGGAAAUAAAGGUAGAGACACGAGUGGAUGGAGAGACGAAACAAAAGCGCGGGUCUGUCUUUGGAAGGCUGGACCAGUAGUUUUAGUCGUUUUCUUUGUUGUAUGUACUAUGCUUGUGUGUCUGCUCCUUUUGGUUCUUUAUGUUGGGGUGUAUCCUCAGUCUUAGCUGUUGGCUAAGAUAAGAGUUUGUAUUUUUUUCCAUAUAAUGAAAUUCUCCUUUGCCUGGGCAAAAAAAUAGAAAAAA
Long non-coding RNA from Helianthus annuus (common sunflower), 2468 nucleotides. RefSeq lists it as uncharacterized. The record is from RefSeq and is a predicted model, not a curated record. The transcript has 5 exons. Lineage: Eukaryota; Viridiplantae; Streptophyta; Magnoliopsida; Asterales; Asteraceae.